This 205-nucleotide unclassified non-coding RNA is filed under the name Phlegmacium boreidionysae. Its description in RNAcentral is "partial internal transcribed spacer 2". Lineage: Eukaryota; Fungi; Basidiomycota; Agaricomycetes; Agaricales; Cortinariaceae. The record is from RNAcentral.
AUAUAUCAACCUCUUCAGCUUUUUUGUUUGACGAGUGUUGGAUGUGGGGGUUUGUUUUGCUGGGCUUUUUUAUAAAGAGGUCAGCUCCCCUGAAAUGCAUUAGCGGAAACAUUUGCAGAUCGUUCAUUGGUGUGAUAAUUAUCUACGCUAUUGACGUGAAGCAGUUCAGCUUCUAACAGUCCAUUGACUUGGACAAUUUUCAUUA